CGUGCUUUCUCGGUGACAUUCC
RNAcentral lists this microRNA (22 nucleotides) under Pristionchus pacificus. RNAcentral describes it as "ppc-miR-228-3p". Its record names the gene ppc-miR-228-3p. The record is from miRBase by way of RNAcentral. Lineage: Eukaryota; Metazoa; Nematoda; Chromadorea; Rhabditida; Neodiplogasteridae.